UGCAUUUAAUUCAAGUUUUAGUUGUUGAAGUCGUUUCUGAAAGUAUUUUUAAAUUUUAAACUGUGGCUGCCUCCUUAAAUCACUUGCCCCCUUUGGCGCAGACAUUCUACGUCAUACUGACAUGUCGAGCCCCAGCUCCAUCCAGACAUCAGAACAACUUAUUUUGGUUUCAAUCGAUCGCUGUUGGAUAACUUGUAUUAAACCAAAAAAGAUGGCCUCAAGUUGUCGAAAACCAGAGCAUAUUGCCCCGCUUAAAAAUGUUCUCGGGUGAUUGCGAUCCAGGGCCAGAUGUUCUAGAGGGCUGUGGAGCUGCUGAACCUGCCUGAGGACCAGCCCUGUAUCCUGCUAGAUGUGGGGGGUUGGGGUCAGAGACGGUGGACAGGAGUGUCCCAAAUCAAGUCCAAUUCACAGGACGGAGGUAAAGUGAUUCAUAAGAUUGUCAACUUUAGACAUGUUGUAAAGCUUAAUUACCAUCAUUAUGUUAAAGAAAAUACCUAUUAAUAAAAGUACUAGCAUAGUUGGGUAGAUGUCAUUGGGCAGGUCUUUUCCUCAGGUCAGGCCAGGCACAUUUCCCUGCCCUGAUGAGGUUGAAGGACCCAGAUGGACAUAGAGGGCUGUCGUCCUGCCUGACUACAGUUACUGUCCGGCAGCUUUUCCUCCCUCUGACAUCACAUGAUCAAGCAGAUGGGGAUUUGGGAAACUCACUGCUCAGCCUGUAGGGUCUCCACUUGCGCCUGCUGAAUAGCUAGCUUUAUGGGUCAGCCGCUUCAGGUGGGUGGUCACGGGUGUUUGCAGUGUUUGCUGGGUUCCAGCCUUAGUAUGAGCCGAAUCAGGAGGAAGUGGUACUCGUUUAGCAAGCAGCGUGACGUCCUUUACAAUCUGUCACGAGACAUAGAGCAGAUUGAAGUUAAAGUUGAGUAAAAACAACUACAGGAUUAAAGAUUAGAGCUGCGGUGUCUCGAUCCCUUCCUGUGUCUGCUGUUGGUCAUUUCCUGUUUGUCUUCGUGAAGAUCUCGCUUUAAGAACAUGAAGGGCAAGUCUGCAAAGAAGGGAGAAGACUGGAUCCUGGAGGGGAGGAGAAGACAGGGCGGGUAUGUACCCCUCUGUCUACACUGUCUCAUUGAGAAGACAGGACAGGUUUGUACCCCUCUGUCUACACUGUCUCAUUGAGAAGACAGGGCAGGUUUGUACCCCUCUGUCUACACUGUCUCACAGGUUAACAUUAGUACCAUCAACUUAUUACAUUCAUAUAGCUUACAACCCCAUUUGGAUGAAGCCAGUAGGCUCUGUAACAGAAAGGCUGGUCUCUUACUGUCUGUGGUGUGUUCUGUCUCUCAGGGAGGUCCGAGCUGACACAACGUACACUGCCCUGCAGAGAAGGACUCACUUCUGAACCCCAGUCAGUCCUGUGUGUUCCGGGCCUGGAGAUUCACCCUUAUGGAAUACUACUGUCCUGUGGACAGAAUCUGGACAGAAACUGGCCCCUCUCGAGGACAUGGUCCCAAUCCUCUGGACAGAAACUGGCCCCUCUCUAGGACAUGGUCCCAAUCCGCUGGACAGAAACUGGCCCCUCUCUAGGACAUGGUCCCAAUCCUCUGGACAGAAACUGGCCCCUCUCUAGGACAUGGUCCCAAUCUUCUGGACAGAAACUGGCCCCUCUCUAGGACAUGGUCCCAAUCCUCUGGACAGAAACUGGCCCCUCUCUAGGACAUGGUCCCUAUCCUCUGGACAGAAACUGGCCCCUCUCUAGGACAUGGUCCCAAUCCUCUGGACAGAAACUGGCCCCUCUCUAGGACAUGGUCCCAAUCCUCUGGACAGAAACUGGCCCCUCUCUAGGACAUGGUCCCAAUCCUCUGGACAGAAACUGGCCCCUCUCUAGGACAUGGUCCCAAUCCUCUGGACAGAAACUGGCCCCUCUCUAGGACAUGGUCCCAAUCCUCUGGACAGAAACUGGCCCCUCUCUAGGACAUGAUAGACAUCAACAACAAAUGGACAGCAAAGAAAAUAAAUGCCCCUCUCUGAUCUUUGACCCAUUCUUCUGGACUAGAUCAUUUCCCCUCGAGCUGCAUAUUCUAUUUUAAAUGUUUGAUGUGGACCUUUUGUUUGAAAGCUUGAAUUAAACAUGUUCUCUAACAUGUCUUUAACUGCACUGUUGGUAAAGGCCUUGAGAGGAAGCCAUUUCACGGCAUGUGACAAAUAAAACUUGAUUUGAUAGAUUUGUUUCAUCGGCCCAUAUCAAUCCCAGUGAAUAUUCAUGUCAUUUGGAGGCCAAUUGUCAACCCAGUGAAUAGUCAUGUAAUUUAGAGGCAAAUAGUCAUGUAAUUUAGAGGCCACUAGUCAUCCCAGUGAAUAUUCAUGUCAUUUAGAGGCCACUAGUCAUCCCAGUGGUUAGGUAUAUCAUUUAGAGGCCACUAGUCAUCCCAGUGGUUAGUUAGAUCAUUUAGAGGGCACUAGUCAUCCCAGUGGUUAGUUAUAUCAUUUAGAGGGCACUAGUCAUCCCAGUGGUUAGUUAUAUCAUUUAGAGGGCACUAGUCAUCCCAGUGGUUAGUUAUAUCAUUUAGAGGGCACUAGUCAUCCCAGUGGUUAGUUAUAUCAUUUAGAGGGCACUAGUCAUCCCAGUGGUUAGUUAUAUCAUUUAGAGGCCACUAGUCAUCCCAGUGGUUAGUUAUAUCAUUUAGAGGGCACUAGUCAUCCCAGUGGUUAGUUAUAUCAUUUAGAGGGCACUAGUCAUCCCAGUGGUUAGUUAUAUCAUUUAGAGGCCACUAGUCAUCCCAGGCCUGUGGGCUACAUGUAAUUAUUUUGAGAUCUGUCGUAUUAUAUUGUCGAUAGUUUCGUUCAUCUGAAUGCAGUUAUUAACUGAACAACGUGUCUUAUCUCUGUAAU
Oncorhynchus tshawytscha (Chinook salmon) is the source of this 2883-nucleotide long non-coding RNA. Lineage: Eukaryota; Metazoa; Chordata; Actinopteri; Salmoniformes; Salmonidae. The record is from Ensembl.